AUGGACUCUGCCCUCCCUGCCUUCCCUCCCCCCUCCGGCCUUCCCACAGCACUGGCAGCCGGGGGCUUUAAAGAAGCCAUUUUCCCUUUUCUCCUUCCUCUGUGCAGCCUCUGUGCAGGCCCACGCACCAGCUGGGCCCCCCACCAUGCUACUCCCACCGCCCCUGCUGCGCUCCUGCCUGCACAGCCUCUGCGGCUGCCUGCCGCCUUCCUGCCUUCACCUGGCUCCGCCGGCGCGGCUGAGCCACGCUCGGCAAGGCAGGGAGCGCGGGAGAGGAAUGAAAAGCCCCRUCUCCCUUUGAUCUCUGCGAGGCUUUGGAGCUGGUCUCCGCCUGCCAGGACCACCCAUUCCGGUUUCGCAGGGCCGCGUCUCCGCUCCCAACGCCCGCCGGGGCCACGGGGUGUGAGGCUGGACGUGCCGCUGGCAGGGAGCGGCGAGACAGGCAGCGCAGCGCGGGACUGCUCACAGCCAGCGCUGGCGGCUCCGUGGCCCCCAGCCAGCCAGGCCACGUCUCCCGGUCCCAGCUCGGACCAGCCCCGCAGCAUCCCCCACGGCCCUUUAGUCUCCGUUUCUCUGGCUCAGACCCUGACUUUCAGCUUCAUGGGGAUCCCAGCCCUCCUCCUGCCCGCUCGCGGUGCUUGCGUCACCCAGGAGCACCUGGCGAGCUGCCCCCAUUCCCCAUCAUCGCCCACCCCUCUGCGGCUCCGAGCAUCCCCGGGACGCCUGCGUGCCUCCCCCGCCCAGCGUGGGCACACAUCACUGCACGGCAGGAGGCAAGGAAUGAGCCCGGCCCCCUGUGGCACAGGCCGGCUCAGCCAGGUGUUCACCUUACACGGAGCCAGCAGCGGAGCUGGUGACCGCUGCUGCGAACGCUCACGGUCUGGGGGACGCCCGUGCUCAGCCCCUCACCACCCUGGGCCCUUGACUCUUUGCAGGAACAAAGCUUCCCUGGGAAGGGACAACAGGACAGAUCCCCACAUUCCCCUGGGCUGUGCUGGGCUACCCCAAGCUGCAAACCCUGCUGAGCUGGGAGUAUCACAGAUUUACCGCCAAGCUGCUCCUGGUCCACAGGCAAACCAUAGACAGGGUGUUUGCUGUGUUUGCAGGGCUUUGUUUUUCUGCCCUGUCUCAAAAGGAGAUUUGUAG
RNAcentral lists this long non-coding RNA (1146 nucleotides) under Apteryx haastii (Great spotted kiwi). RNAcentral describes it as "lncRNA (ENSAHAG00000011546.1)". The record is from RNAcentral. Lineage: Eukaryota; Metazoa; Chordata; Aves; Apterygiformes; Apterygidae.